GGGCGAGCCGCAGACCUCAAACCUCUGACAACAAGCUAGCUGGAGGCCGGCGAGGGCGAACAUCAUCAUUCUCGUCUCAGCUAGCUGCGUGUCCGGCCUUUACGGCUGCUGGUGCCACCUCCUGAACGGGCGGCUGCACGACCGGACGCGCGACGCGGCGGAGCUGCCGGGCAGCGACCGGCGGCGGUCGACGCGGUGCCGUCCGGAGGCGCGGGAGCGGCGCCUGGGCCUCUGCACCGCGCGCGAGACGGAGCGCGCCACCGGCAGCGACCCGGACCUCUGGAGCGACCUUGCGUUGCAGGAACCGAGAGGCCGGCAGAGAGGCGUCGCGGAGAAGCGGCUGCGGAAGGGGAAGGGCAGGUGGAGGUGAAGGUGCCUACGGCGGCGUCGGCUAGUCACGGAGGGGCCGCUCGACCAGAGGCGGCACCUGCAGAUGGUCUUACCGCGCGGGGCCGGGGAGAAGAGGGCCCAGCACCUCUGGAGGUGCAGCAGGAGCACCAAGGACCGGAGCGGGAAGGCGCACCUGCGGCAGCUCACGUUCCUGGGCCGUGCCUACCGGAGCCGGAGCAAGAGCGGCAGCCUCGACCUCGACUCGACCUAGCACCAGCUGGGGGCCUCGCCCGCCCGCCACUUGCACAGCUCGGCCGCCCGCCACCGGCACCUGUCCGUGACCAUGUGCCCGCUCUGCGACCACGCCAUGCGCCACCACGAGCCGCCCUCGUUCAAGCUCCGGUGCCAGUGGACGAGUCUCCUCCGGCCCACGGAAUCGGAGUCCCUCCAGUCGGACUCGCAGCUCCUGCGGCUGCCGCGCCGCCACUCGCCGCUUCCGUCGGACGCCGAAAACCUCCGGCGCUACCUCCCCGGCUCCUCGUUUCCUCCCCUGUUUCUUUCUCUCCUCCGGUUCUCCUCCAUGCUCCUCAAGCACUCCUCGUUCUCCCCCUCCUUCCUCAGGUUCCGCUCCGCUCUCCACGAGCAGCUGGACACGACGAGGCAGCAGUCGCGGCAGCGGCACGAGUCGAAGGAGCGGAGGCAGCACGAGGCCAUCUCAGGCAGUCCGUCCCAGGCCUAUAGACCCAUUGAGCACUUUGUACAUCAUGUUGUCAAAAAGGUGAUCUUAUACUCGUUUUUCCAUGUCACUAAACUGACGACUGUCACUUCGCCCGUUUAGGAUAAAGAUGACAAUAUGGGCUUUUAAGUCCGUCGUGUCACGAGCGUUAAUUUGGUGCCACCAGAUGAGGCUGAUAACCACUGUUUAGGGUGUAACGGUGUACACAGGGUGGCCGGGAGUAACGAUCGCGAUUCGACUGCGGGUGGUCUUAGUACUAUAUGAAGUGACUCAUAUACCAGACUUGAACUAGGUCACUUCUGUCCGUUCUCGAACCUACGUCCUGCUUGAGUCUGAAGUUACGGUUAUCAAGUUACCACUGUGUGUUUAGGUGGGUCAAUUGAGUUUCAACUCGUCGGGUUUUCCGGACUGCUGCUAGCCCUUAUACGUGUGGUUUAAAUGUGUGAUGGUGGUCACGAUCGAUUGUCCGAGUCUGAUUCCGCAGCGAUGCUGCUCAUCCGGCUGCCGAAACCCAGAGCCGGUCCGAGGAAGUCUUCCAGAGGGCUCGAAAACGCCGCUGGAAACGGCGACAACGAACGCGGCCCGCGGCAAAACGAAGGUGAGAACCCCAGAACUCCGGAGAGACGUCGGCC
This 1698-nucleotide ribosomal RNA is filed under the name Triticum aestivum (bread wheat). Its description in RNAcentral is "partial small subunit ribosomal RNA". The record is from RNAcentral. Lineage: Eukaryota; Viridiplantae; Streptophyta; Magnoliopsida; Poales; Poaceae.